UACAUUUCUGAUGUCUUCCUUCCCAGAGCCAAGGUAAAGGCUUACUCUGGGCUGGAAGCCACACUAACCUGUCCCUUUCUUGCUGUACCCAGGUUCGGGAGUAGCAGCAACACUGCAUCCUUCGGUACCCUCGCCAGUCAGAACGCACCCACUUUCGGAUCCUUGUCCCAGCAGACCUCUGGCUUCGGGACCCCGAGCAGUGGAUUCUCUGGGUUUGGAUCAGGCACAGGAGGUAAACAGCUAUGUUCUUCCCUCCCCCAAAGGAACAGUGUUCUGGCCACUCAGCCGAGGGUCUUAAAAGCUGAAGUAACAAGACAAUAUGACAUCCUCUAAGUAGACUGGCAACAACUGGCAAUUGUUGUUGUCUAGACGGUGUAGGCCCCUCCCGUGCCUUAUCUUGGUACAGUGCUCUGCAUCUUCAGAGAGCAAAUACAAGUUCUGUGUGGUCCUCACAGACUGAAGGGGGGCACACUGGACCUCAGCAAAGUCGUGACUUUGUUUAACAAAUAAAGAACUGGCUGCAGAGGCUCAGAACUCCAUGUGGCGUCUGAGGCAGACCUAGCGUGUGCUUCUCUGGUCUGCAAAGGAAUCAGACUGAUACCAAUAAAAGGAAACACAGUUGUGCUUUCCCAUAAAAUGGUGCACGGCAGCAGUGCACAGACCCUUCCCUGCAGCCGAGGGACCUAAAACAGUGAGGUGACACUUCUCCCGGUAGACCCAGUGGCUCGGGAGGAUGAGCUGACUGUGCCUCCGUCUCCUCACAGCAGCAG
Molecule: long non-coding RNA, 770 nt
Filed under: Rattus norvegicus (Norway rat)
Lineage: Eukaryota; Metazoa; Chordata; Mammalia; Rodentia; Muridae
Description: long non-coding RNA NONRATT018030
Source: RNAcentral